AGAGUGAACGCUGGCGGCAGGCCUAACACAUGCAAGUCGAACGGCAGCACAGAGGAGCUUGCUCCUUGGGUGGCGAGUGGCGGACGGGUGAGGAAUACGUCGGAAUCUGCCUAUUUGUGGGGGAUAACGUAGGGAAACUUACGCUAAUACCGCAUACGACCUACGGGUGAAAGCGGAGGACCUUCGGGCUUCGCGCAGAUAGAUGAGCCGACGUCGGAUUAGCUAGUUGGCGGGGUAAAGCCCACCAAGGCGACGAUCCGUAGCUGGUCUGGAGAGGAUGAUCAGCCACACGUAGGAACUGAGACACGGUCCACGACCUCCGACGGGACGCAGCGAGGUGGGAAUAGUUGGAACAAGU
This 358-nucleotide ribosomal RNA is filed under the name uncultured soil bacterium. Its description in RNAcentral is "bacterial SSU rRNA". It matches the Rfam family "Bacterial small subunit ribosomal RNA", at positions 26 to 375 of the family's 1533-position model. The record is from RNAcentral.